RNAcentral lists this transfer RNA (68 nucleotides) under Canis latrans (coyote). Its description in RNAcentral is "tRNA-Tyr". It matches the Rfam family "tRNA". From Rfam's summary of the family: Transfer RNA (tRNA) molecules are approximately 80 nucleotides in length. Their secondary structure includes four short double-helical elements and three loops (D, anti-codon, and T loops). The record is from RNAcentral. Lineage: Eukaryota; Metazoa; Chordata; Mammalia; Carnivora; Canidae.
GGUAAAAUGGCUGAUAUAAGCAUUAGACUGUAAAUCUAAAGAUAGGGGUUUAAGUCCUCUUUUUACCA